UUCCUAGUAGCUCAGAGGGUACAGUGUCUGCCUGCAAUGCAGGAGGCCUUGGUUUGAUCCCUAGAUAGGGAA
This 72-nucleotide transfer RNA is filed under the name Bos taurus (domestic cattle). It matches the Rfam family "tRNA". Rfam says of the family: Transfer RNA (tRNA) molecules are approximately 80 nucleotides in length. Their secondary structure includes four short double-helical elements and three loops (D, anti-codon, and T loops). The record is from Rfam by way of RNAcentral. RNAcentral also lists the same sequence under 5 other names. Lineage: Eukaryota; Metazoa; Chordata; Mammalia; Artiodactyla; Bovidae.